Gallus gallus (chicken) is the source of this 1724-nucleotide long non-coding RNA. RefSeq lists it as uncharacterized. The transcript has 2 exons. NCBI's taxonomy places the organism in Eukaryota, Metazoa, Chordata, Aves, Galliformes, Phasianidae. The record is from RefSeq and is a predicted model, not a curated record.
GAAGGAAGGCGAGGAGGGAGACACGAGGAUUAUUUGUCCAUCAUAAAUAAACUUGAAGAAAAAUAAACCAGAGCACCAGAAAAGCAAACAGGAGGAAGCAACCCCAUCAGGAACAGAUCAAAGGGAAGCAGGGCAAUGCUGCACAGGGUCUGGGGAGCAGGAGAGGGAUUGCCUCAAAAGGAAAGCACUGCGUGGGGAGUUUUGCCACCUGGGCUCUGCUCUGCCAUCCCCAUGCAGGUGGGGUGGGAGCUCUAUGGACUCCAUUUUUGGUGACUUUACAGGAACGGGCAUCGCAGGGGCUCCCAGCUCCCCACACUGCAGUGGGCACAGAGUGGGGACACAGCCCUGGUGGGAGCAGUGCCCUCCCGUGCUGCCCCCGCUCUCAUCUCCCAGCGUGUAGCUGCAAGUGCCGUGUGUUUACAAACGCAGCAUUGCAAGAUCCCUUGAACUGUGUCCUAGUACAAAAGAGGCUUUGAAACAAGAACCACGUUGUCAUGGCAUGUUUCAGGCCAGCAGCACCAGACUGAACCAGAUAAUUGCUGUUUCUGCUUUAGCCGCUGUGUUGUGAGAGAAGGCGUUGGGUUGAGCAAGGCUCAGCCCUCGGAGUGGGGCUCAGGGAUGGGGGUGGGGAUGGGGUGCGAUGGGCUCUCAGCACACCCGUGGUGGGGUCUGUGGAACCAGGAAAGAAAGGUAUGGGCACAGCGUGGCGUAAAAGGCAGCGGACUCCUGGAGCACUGUUAGUCCUUGGCACAGGUACAGAGCUCACGUCGGUGCCUUUGCCUGAGGAUGUGCACAGUGUGAAUGGAUGUGGCUCUGAACAGCUCAGGGAGAAUUUAAGGUUGGGGUCUCAGCACAGAUCUUGGCUCCAAAGGGGGAACGUGCUGGGAUGGGGCAUCAAUGGCAAAACAUCACAAUGGCCCUUUGCUUCUUUCCCCGCUCGCUGGCAGCCCGUCACCCUUUCCAUGGUUUAAGUGAGUGUCCAAAGGUCACAGCGAACUCAAGUCCCUGCCCCGUGGCUCACGUCGUCCAGUGAAUAAGCAGUGGGUGUGCGGCACCUGAAUCAAAGCUCCCUCCUGCUGCAGAGCAGAGCACGGGGCAGCACUGGGCUGUGAGCCUGCAGCGCGUGCUCUGCGCCUGGCUGCACCCGGGUGGGAGUGGGGCCACUGGGAUGCUGCCCUGGUGGAUGCUGCCCCGGGGAUAAUACCCUGAGAGAUAACUGCCCCAGGGGAUGCUCUCCCCGAGUGAUGCAGCCCCGAGGGAUGCCCGCCUCAAGGGAUAUUCACCUGAAGAGAUGUUUACCCUGAGGGAUGCUCACCCCAAGGGAUGCUGCCCCAAGGGCCGCCCCAGCCCCAUCACCUCCCCCGCGGGGCGUUUCAGUCUUGCAGCCACCACAGCUGUGUGCAAUGCUCUGAGCACUGUCAGCUGCAGCCGACGAGGGGAAGAUGUGAUGGAGCGGAGUGUCGCAAGGGGCAGGGGCACAGCUGGGGCUGAUGACGGGGAGCAAAGGCAAGCCGUUAACACUGGGCCAUUUCCUCUGCCGCUGCUGACUGCACGGAGCCCACGCUGAUUUUCUGCGUUUCCUCGCUUUGCUCACUUCCAGGUGCUCAUCCCAGGGGCAGGCGGUGGGGCCGCUGCCCGGCGCUUCCCGCUUAGCCCUGGAUCCGCUCCAGCGCGCGUGAGCAGCACGAGCCCGUGGGGAGCGCCGGGAGGCGCCGCUCGGAGGG